CUUCGGGCCUUGCGCUAUCAGAUGAGCCUAGGUCGGAUUAGCUAGUUGGUGGGGUAAUGGCUCACCAAGGCGACGAUCCGUAACUGGUCUGAGAGGAUGAUCAGUCACACUGGAACUGAGACACGGUCCAAACUCAUACGGGAGGCAGCAGUGGGGAAUAUUGGACAAUGGGCGAAAGCCUGAUCCAGCCAUGCCGCGUGUGUGAAGAAGGUCUUCGGAUUGUAAAGCACUUUAAGUUGGGAGGAAGGGCAGUAAGUUAAUACCUUGCUGUUUUGACGUUACCGACAGAAUAAGCACCGGCUAACUCUGUGCCAGCAGCCGCGGUAAUACAGAGGGUGCAAGCGUUAAUCGGAAUUACUGGGCGUAAAGCGCGCGUAGGUGGUUUGUUAAGUUGGAUGUGAAAGCCCCCGGGCUCAACCUGGGAACUGCAUCCAAAACUGGCAAGCUAGAGUACGGUAGAGGGUGGUGGAAUUUCCUGUGUAGCGGUGAAAUGCGU
This 496-nucleotide ribosomal RNA is filed under the name Pseudomonas sp. acu36. RNAcentral describes it as "bacterial SSU rRNA". It matches the Rfam family "Bacterial small subunit ribosomal RNA", at positions 207 to 691 of the family's 1533-position model. Lineage: Bacteria; Pseudomonadati; Pseudomonadota; Gammaproteobacteria; Pseudomonadales; Pseudomonadaceae. The record is from RNAcentral.